GAUGAACGCUAGCGGCAGGCUUAACACAUGCAAGUCGAGGGGCAGCGGGGGUAGCAAUACCCGCCGGCGACCGGCGCACGGGUGAGUAACGCGUAUGCAAUCUGCCCACAACUGGGGGAUAACCCGGAGAAAUUCGGACUAAUACCCCAUAUACCUCCCGAGAGGCAUUUCUUGGGAUGGAAAGGAGCAAUCCGGUUGUGGAUGAGCAUGCGUAUCAUUAGAUAGUUGGUGGGGUAACGGCCCACCAAGUCUACGAUGAUUAGGGGUUCUGAGAGGAUUAUCCCCCACACUGGGACUGAGACACGGCCCAGACUCCUACGGGAGGCAGCAGUGAGGAAUGUUGGUCAAUGGCCGAAAGGCUGAACCAGCCAUGCCGCGUGCAGGAUUACGGCCCUACGGGUCUUAAACUGCUUUUGGGAGGGAACAAUAAGGGCUACGUGUAGUCCGACGAGCGUACCUUCCGAAUAAGCAUCGGCUAACUCCGUGCCAGCAGCCGCAGUAA
Molecule: ribosomal RNA, 502 nt
Filed under: uncultured bacterium
Lineage: Bacteria
Description: partial 16S ribosomal RNA
Rfam family: Bacterial small subunit ribosomal RNA
Source: RNAcentral